Molecule: ribosomal RNA, 253 nt
Filed under: uncultured bacterium
Lineage: Bacteria
Description: partial 16S ribosomal RNA
Rfam family: Bacterial small subunit ribosomal RNA
Source: RNAcentral
UACGUAGGGGGCAAGCGUUGUCCGGAUUUAUUGGGCGUAAAGAGCGUGUAGGCGGCCUGAAAGGUCAGCUGUGAAAACUCGAGGCUCAACCUCGAGACGUCGGUUGAAACCAUCUGGCUAGAGUCCGGAAGAGGAGUGUGGAAUUCCCGGUGUAGCGGUGAAAUGCGCAGAUAUCGGGAGGAACACCAGUGGCGAAGGCGGCCCUCUGGGCCGGGCCUGACGCUGAGACGCGAGGGCGUGGGGAGCGAACGGG